AUGCCUCCGCAAAACAAAUCCAGGAAAUUACAUGGAGAGGCUGCUGAUUUUUUUGGUCAAUUAUUCUUCUUCUUUGAUGCAAAGCUAGACGAUGAUGUCGACAUACUUUGUCAAGUAUGUGGCAUGCUUCUACAGUAUGUUAAAUGUGAUGCAGGAGGUCUUGUCAGUCUUUUUGCAACCGUGGAUUACUCUGAAGUGGGACCUUCAGUGAUCAUCAGAGUGAGGAAAUUUUUACACAUGUGUAUUGAUGCUCUCUAUGUCAAGAGGUUUCAGUUGGUUAACCAACCUGAGGCAUCAUCAGAGAGUGAUCUCAUGCCUUUUGUCCAAUUACUUAGAACAGCGAUAUGCUUACUGAGUCACAAGCUUCCAUGGAACUGUGAAGUAAUUGGAUAUCUCCAUCAGAAAAAGGUCUUCUGCUUAUUUCGGGAGAUCAUCAUGGUUGUCGUGCAAAAUGAACGGCAAUUGAAGCAUCGUGAUUUUCUGUCUGCACUUUAUGAAGUUCUUGCACUUGUUGCUUCACAUGUUGGCAACCAUCCAUGUUCUUGUGUACUUUUGGAUCCAAAAUGGAGCUUUUCCUCGCAGAUUCUUACCAUUCCUUUUCUAUGUCAUCGGUUGCCAGAGUUUAUGAAGGUUUUAUCUGCUGAUGAAUUCAAAACAGAGUAUAUGUAUCAGAUAGCUUGCGCUGACGUUCUUCCAAACGACACAUUGGCUAACCAUCCUGGACAAGCAUAUGUACUUUCAAAUGUACUUGACAUUGCGACUUUGAUUUUCUCUGAAUCAGGCUUCGAUUCUGACAGAGCAGCUGGAAUCAUUAAUUUUUGUACCUCAUUGCUUGAUGCGUUCCCAAAAAUUGCAUCAUCUAUUCAAAGUACACAUGUUGAUGGUGCAAUGCCCAUUGAAGCUGAUGAUUUCAACCACCUUGAUGUUGAUCUGCAAAGACACAUAUUGACAUCGGUUGAAUGUUUGGUGAAUGGUGUACUUAGUGGUAUAUCGAGCACAGGUUCUUCUGAUACAGCUGGCCCUUCAAGUGCUAAACUGCAAUUAGUAGGACCUAUCAGUGCUUUUCUUCAUGGCAUGUUAAGCACAGGUUUUGUUGAGGGGAUUAUGACUGUGUUGGUGUACAAUACUGAAAUUGUUCCUGCACUUUGGAACUAUAUAAAGAGCUGCUGCAAGAAUGAUAAACGGAAGUCUUUUCCUGAGCGGGAUACUCCUAGCUGGCUACUACCUUUGUCCAUUUUCUGCUCCAUGUAUAGCCAUAUCUUAGAGUUGGUGGAUAUUGCGGAGUUCAGAGAUUGUAAGAAACCUCUCUCUCUUUCUCUUGAGGAGUUGAAGUCUCUUGUUUCCAUUUUGAAGGAGGCUUUGUGGGAACUUCUGUGGACCAUUCCUGUACAAACCUCUACUUUACAGACAUCACCCACCCCAGGUAGUAAGACAUUGUUGACUGAGAGUCUUAAGCACAGUGCUAGGACUGGACUAUGUGAACUAUUUACAAAGUUGGAGGACUGGAAUAUCAGAAAUUCAUUUGUUGAUGCUAGUGAGUUUUGUUCUAAAGAAGAUUUUAGCGACGAAUUUGUGCUUCAGGCAUCUAUUGCGGGGACUCGUGAAUCAGAAAUUAUAAGACUUGCUCCGUUGUUGGUGCCGUUUGACAUUAGACUCAAAAUUUUCAGUCAAUAUUUGGUAUUCGAUCAGGCACACAUGGCCGACUUUAGACAAGUUCCUGCGCCUCGUACCUUAGAAAUCAGAAGAAACCAAUUACUGGAAGAUGCUAUUCACAAUAUAAGCCUUUUAUCUGUAGAAGAUCUUAAAGGAACGAUUCAAGUGGUUUUCUUUGAUGAGCAUGGCAUGAGGGAAGCUGGAGUUGAUGGUGGUGGUAUUUUUCGUGAUUUCAUGAAUACCACGACUAAGACUGCUUUCGAUGCACGGGCUGGUUUGUUCAUGGAAACAGAUGAUCAUUUAUUAUAUCCAAACCCCGAGUCAAUAUCGACUGCUGGCGAACAUCAUCUUCAGAAGUUUCAUUCUCUCGGAGUUCUACUCGGGAAGGCCAUAUAUGAGAGGGUACCUGUUGACCUGUCAUUUGCAAUAUUCUUUUUAAGGAAGUUGAAAGAGAAGCCUACAUUCUUUAAUGAUCUUUUCUCACUGGAUCCAGUAUAUUAUGACAAUCUAUGUGGUAUGAAGAAGAAUCCGGGGCUUUGGUUGGAUUUUCCAAACCUGCUUCCUGGUGUUGGAGAGAUUGAUGUUAACAAUGAUAAUGUUAUUACAUAUAUGCAUCUUCGUGCCAACGAGAAGUUAAAUUUUCAGGCCUGUAUUCAAACUGCACAGUUUUUGAGAGGUCUUCAACAAUUGAUACCUAAAAAAUGGAUCGAUAUGUUCAAUGAACAUGAAUUUCAGCUUCUCAUAUCUGGCCCUCCGUGCUUGAAUUUAGAAGACUUGCUCUUGAACACGAAAUAUGGUGGGGAAUAUCACGAGGAUCAUGAGGUUAUUGUUAUGUUUUGGAAUGUCUUAAGGAGGUUCAGCCAGAAUGAACAAAAGCAGUUUCUCUUUUAUGUUAUUCCUGGCACAGACGAUACAGGCCGUCUGCCUAGAGCACAUACAUGCUUUAAUGAGUUGAUGCUUCCUCCAUAUCAGAUAAAAGAACAGAUGCGAGACAGGUUGUCAGUGGCUAUAUCUGCGAAUGCUGGUUUUGAUCUCAUGUGA
This 2694-nucleotide ribosomal RNA is filed under the name Triticum aestivum (bread wheat). RNAcentral describes it as "partial small subunit ribosomal RNA". Lineage: Eukaryota; Viridiplantae; Streptophyta; Magnoliopsida; Poales; Poaceae. The record is from RNAcentral.